RNAcentral lists this ribosomal RNA (873 nucleotides) under uncultured marine bacterium. Its description in RNAcentral is "bacterial SSU rRNA". It matches the Rfam family "Bacterial small subunit ribosomal RNA", at positions 56 to 928 of the family's 1533-position model. The record is from RNAcentral.
UGCAAGUCGAACGGUAACAGAAAAAGCUUGCUUUUUGCUGACGAGUGGCGAACGGGUGCGUAACGCGUAUGCAACCUACCUUCUUCUAAGGAAUAGCCCAGAGAAAUUUGGAUUAAUACCUUAUGAUAAUAUUUAUUCGCAUGUUUAAAUAUUUAAAACUCCGGUGGAAGAAGAUGGGCAUGCGUAACAUUAGUUUGUUGGUGAGGUAAUGGCUCACCAAGACUACGAUGUUUAGGGGUUCUGAGAGGAUGAUCCCCCACACUGGUACUGAGACACGGACCAGACUCCUACGGGAGGCAGCAGUGAGGAAUAUUGGUCAAUGGACGAAAGUCUGAACCAGCCAUGCCGCGUGAAGGAUGACGGCCCUACGGGUUGUAAACUUCUUUUGUAUAGGAAGAAACCCCUCUACGUGUAGAGGGCUGACGGUACUAUUCGAAUAAGCACCGGCUAACUCCGUGCCAGCAGCCGCGGUAAUACGGAGGGUGCGAGCGUUAUCCGGAAUUAUUGGGUUUAAAGGGUGCGUAGGCGGAAAUUUAAGUCAGUGGUGAAAGCCUGCAGCUUAACUGUAGAAUUGCCAUUGAUACUGGAUUUCUUGAAUCUAAUAGAAGUAGGCGGAAUAUGACAUGUAGCGGUGAAAUGCUUAGAUAUGUCAUAGAACACCGAUAGCGAAGGCAGCUUACUAUGUUAGUAUUGACGCUAAUGCACGAAAGCGUGGGGAGCGAACAGGAUUAGAUACCCUGGUAGUCCACGCCGUAAACGAUGAUUACUCGCUAUUGGCGAUACACUGUCAGUGGCUAAGCGAAAGUGAUAAGUAAUCCACCUGGGGAGUACGAUCGCAGGUUGAAACUCAAGGAAUUGACGGGGCCCGCACGA